UAUCCGGCGGCCGGAUAUCCCGCCAUCGAAAUCGGGUUUAUUCGACGUCUUUCGUUUAAAAUUCGAGAUUAUAUCGAGCGGGGGCAUGUCGUGGCGUCGGUUCCAUAUUAGUUUAGUUUCUGCGUAGUUGGACCGGGCGCGUGUUGUUGGUGACGUUUCAAAAUCGGUUUAGUUCCUGCGUAGAGUGCAGAUAGUUUUAUUGUUUAGAAGUUCUAAAUAUGUCGUCGAACACAAAAAGGUCGCCAAUAUGGCAAUAUUUUGACAUAAAUAAGGACAACAAUAGGUUGGCUGACUGUUUGCUGUGCCAGCUUCAAAUAUCUCGGGGCGGAGAAGGAAAAAAGGCUGGUACUUCCGCCAUGACUAACCACGUAAAAUCAAAACAUCCCGAGAAGUUUGCUUUGCUUAACAAAGCUAAAGGCAAAGAAGAAACUACCAUGCUUGAGAAGUCUGGUGCCUCUAGUACAAGUUCGUUUUUGAGAACGACAGAAAAGCAGCUAACUUUAUCAGAAUGCGUUGAGAGAAAACAAGUUUGGAAUAUUAAUGAUUUAAAGGCAAAAAAAUAUCAUUAUUUAAGUGCAGAAAUGAUUGCACUAGAUAAUGAGCCGCUAGGUAUAGUGGAAAGAGUUGGAUUUAAAAGACUUCUUCAACAUGCUUUACCUCGCUAUGAAUUACCAAGUCGCACAUAUAUAACCCAAAAAAUUAUUCCAGAUAUCUACAACAGAAUUAUUAAAAAAUCAAAGGAAGCAUUUCAAAUGCUGUCGCAAUUUCUGUCACUUCUGAUAUAUGGACUGUGCGCAUAAAAACUCUAGCUUUCUGAGUUUCACAGCCCAUUGGGUGUCUCCGGAAUUCCAACUUCAACACGAAGUUCUUGCUAUGAAACCAUUCUCCGGAGCCCACACAGGGGAAAACAUAGCAAAUGAACUCAAUGCUAUUGCAGCUCGAUGUGAUAUUCACCAAGACCAAAUACAUGUACUUGUUCAUAUCAGCGGUGCAAACAUGGUGAAAGGUGUUCGCAUAGCAGAGUAUAGUUCUGCCAGAUGUUUCAUUCAUUCGCUUCAGAGGGUUGUUACUGAGUCAUUAAAGAUACAGUCGGAAGUAAUCGAAAUGAUAAGCAAAGGCAGACGUCUCGUUACACAUUUUAAUCAUUCGGGGUUAGCUCAAAAAAACUGUUGGCAAUUCAAAAGGAGUUUAGUUUACUCGAACAUCAAUUAAUGCAGGAUAUCAGCACGAGGUAGAAUUCCACCUUUUACAUGUCAGAACAAAAAUGUGCUAUAUCCCUUUAUGUUGCCGAUUACGACACACUGACUAAUUUAACGACUCAUGAGUGGUGUCUGAUGGAACAAUGUGUCAAACUUUUGAAGCCAUUCGAAGAGAUAACUAAAAUCACAAGUGCUGGUCUCUCCUGCAUAUCCGAAGUAAUACCGCAUCUAGCAGCAUUGAAAAAAUACCUAUGCAAGGAUGAGACUGCGCAACGAACAGCUGAUUUACCUCAUAUGAGAGCUGCCUUAAAAUCAGAAUUGAAUUCUCGUUUUAGCUCAUUAUCUAUAGAUCCGAAUUAUCUUAUUGCAACUUUCUUGGACCCCAGAUUCAAAACAAACUAUUAAGGGACUCUCGAAGCUGAAAGAGCGCGACAAAAGAUCUUGUUAAAGUUUUUAAAAAUGACUUGCGACGAGUCCUCCAGCAGCAGUGAUACAUCGCCAUCAUCCACACCACCACCUUCUAAAAAAACCAGAAAUGAAACUGAUUCCAAUGUGACUCGCAAUUCCCACGACACCUUUUGGGAUUGUUUCAAUGAAAUAGCACAUGAAAUUAACAGUCAAAGUCAAAAUCAAGCGAAAAAUCCAAUUGCAAGAGAGAUUGACGGUUAUUUGAAGACAGUUUAUUGAUCACAACCGGGAUCCGUACGCUUGGUGGUCGGCUAAUUUACAAGAGUAUCCCAAUUUGAUGAAAUUUGCCAAAGUAUACCUUUCAGCUCCUUACGGCAGUGUUUUCAGUGAGAGGCUGUCCGUAAGCAGGUUUGAGUCUUUCCGAAGCAGGUUUGGUUUACGAAAACAAGCAAAAUCGCCUGUUGCCGGCAAACGCUGAAAAUUUGGUUUUCAUUCACCAUAAUUUACCACUUCUUAAUUUUGACUAUUAGGUAUAUGUAUUUUUACUUUUAAAAUAUUUUUAGGUGUAAAUUUUUAAUCCCUUUGCGGUUUUUUUAAUAUGUGGUUGAGUUUUUCUACUCUAGUAUACUUAAAACUUUUAAGUAGCUACAAUUUUCUUUUUUUAGUUUUUACUGUUUUAUAACGAAUAAUUUAGUUUUUCAGAUGGUUUCUAUGACUUUGUUAUCUUUAAUAAAAGCUGUUAGAAGUGUA
RNAcentral lists this long non-coding RNA (2357 nucleotides) under Anthonomus grandis grandis. RNAcentral's name for it is "uncharacterized LOC126738939". The record is from RNAcentral. Lineage: Eukaryota; Metazoa; Arthropoda; Insecta; Coleoptera; Curculionidae.